Ailuropoda melanoleuca (giant panda) is the source of this 3970-nucleotide RNA transcript. It is a transcript of the gene named adenosine deaminase tRNA specific 1, with no coding region annotated. The transcript has 11 exons. The record is from RefSeq and is a predicted model, not a curated record. NCBI's taxonomy places the organism in Eukaryota, Metazoa, Chordata, Mammalia, Carnivora, Ursidae.
UGGGGUCGCGGGGCCGAGGGCGCGCAAGUGUGGGGUGCUCCAAGGCUGCUGGGUGAGCUGCCCUCGGUCUGACUUCCCGACCCUGUUUUGUGUGUGAAGUGGUCUUGAGGACGGUGCUUCCCCCAUCGCGCGUCCCGUUUCCCGGAAGUGCCCGUAUCCGCUGAAGCCGCGGGGCGUGUGGCCUCUAAGCAUCGCCCGCGCCACCGAGGAGUCAGGCGCGGAGGUUGUCGCUAAUUGACCGGCCUAGAGCCUCUCGGGUAAUUGGCCAGAUGGGCCCCGAGAAGUGGCUGCGGCCCAGGAUAUUGAGGACGGGGGCUAAGGCUAAAGCCUGAUCUUCCCUGGCAGCCGACUUGCCUUAACUUGUCUUUGAAAAGGAAGUGGGUUCUUAACGCUUUUUGCAAGUGUUGCAACAAGCGAUCUUGUGGGCAAAAUGCCCGUUCAACUGAGCUGUUGUUUCAUAUGAAGUUACUCAAGAUCUAGCAGAGUGGAUUUGGAUUUUAGUGGACGUAGUUUAGCAAAACAUUGAUUCAUUUCAGCUACUAUGCACGCUCACCCAGACAACUACGUGAAUGAGAGGAUGGAAUAGUUCUGGGCUGCAUCAUCUUAGGGAGUCAACGUUACUUCUGGCAAGUUCUGUCUUCCCUGGCUAUUAUGGUUCGUGGCUUGGCACUAACUCAGACCAUGUGGACUGCAGAUGAGAUUGCCCGGCUGUGUUACGAGCACUAUAGGACCAGGCUGCCCAAGCAGGGGAAGCCUGAGCCCAACCGUGAGUGGACAUUACUAGCAGCCGUGGUGAAGAUACAGCCUGCAGCUGACCAGGCCCAUGGUGGCAAUAACAGACCUGCACAAGUGACAAAGGAAGUUGUCUCAAUGGGAACAGGAACGAAAUGCAUAGGCCAGUCCAAAAUGAGGAAGAGCGGAGACAUCCUCAAUGAUAGCCAUGCUGAGGUUAUAGCCAGGAGGAGUUUCCAAAGGUACCUUCUCCAUCAGCUCCACUUGGCCGCCCUGAAGGAGGAUAGCAUCUUUGUCCCCGGAACUGAGAGAGGGCUGUGGAAACUCAGACCAGACCUCUUGUUUGUGUUUUUCUCCAGCCAUACACCCUGUGGGGAUGCAUCCAUCAUUCCAAUGCUUGAGUUUGAAGAUCAGCCGUGCUUUCCUGUCCGUAGAGAUUGGGCCAAUAACCCAUCAGGAAAAGCCAGUGGUGACCUGGAAGCUCCUGAAGAUACAAAGAAAUGGGAAAACCUGGGUAGUCCUGUGACCAAAAAGAUGAGGCUUGAGCCUGGGAUUCCUGAUGGCGUGGCUCACCAUCCGAGUUUUGGCCAUGAGGAAAGUUGCCUGAUCCCACCAAGCAUCAGCAGCUCUCAUCUUACUGCACAGGAGCUGGCCACUCUCACUGGAAUGGCCCCCAGUGGUGCUAAAGUGGUGGACGUUUAUAGAACUGGAGCCAAGUGUGUGCCUGGAGAAGCUGGUGACUCCGGGAAGCCUGGUGCUGCGUAUCACCAGGUGGGGCUGCUCCGAGUGAAGCCUGGCCGGGGAGACCGGACUUGCUCCUUGUCCUGCAGUGACAAGCUGGCCCGGUGGAACGUCCUUGGAUGCCAGGGGGCACUGUUGAUGCACCUUCUAGAAGAGCCCAUCUACCUGUCAGCUGUUGUGAUUGGGAGGUGCCCGUACAGCCAGGAGGCCAUGCAGAGAGCUCUGACUGGGAGGUGUCAGAAUGUCUCAGCGCUACCCAAAGGCUUUGGAGUUCAAGAAGUGAAAAUACAGCAGUCAGGUUUACUGUUUGACCAGAGCCGCUGUGCAGUGCAGGCAAAAAGGGCUGACGGCCCCAGCCGACUUGUUCCUUGUGGUGCAGCCAUCAGCUGGAGCGCGGUUCCUGAGCAGCCGCUGGAUGUCACUGCCAAUGGUUUUCCGCAGGGAGCAACGAAAAAAGCAGUCAGGUGCCUUCAGGCCAGAUCCCGGAUCAGCAAAGUGGAACUGUUUAGAUCAUUUCAGAAACUGCUAAGCAGUAUUUCAGAGGACAAGUGGCCAGACUCCCUCAGGAUGCGGAAGCUGGAGACAUACCAUGAGUACAAGGAGGCCGCAUCUGCUUACCAGGAAGCCUGGAGUGUGCUCCGAAAGCAGGCCUUUGGAUCCUGGAUCAGAAACCCACCGGAUUAUCACCAGUUCAAAUAAGGAGGGCAAACUGCAACAAGCUUGUUGGUAGCAGAGUGUUUUCCAGCUGUUCACACUGGAUUGCUGCUUCCUUUGUGCUGGACAAGCCUUAGCUUUUCUUGUGGCUGAGUCGGGGGAAAAAAAGAGGUCUGCCAUCUACCAGAGCCACCUAUCUCUUUGGACAGAACUCUGUAACACGGAACAAUCUAUCCUUGAUUGAAGUAGCUCUCUCUGCUAAAAUGGUAUCUGGCUGAUGACCUUGGCGUCUUUCCUAACUUGUGUGUUAUUGCUUCUCUAAAAUAUGGAAUAAGAAUUUGGAAUGUGAUACUUUGAAAGGACUCUGCGGUAGCUCCAUUUUGUGUGUUCCUACAUUGAUUUGGCAAGUGUUUAUGGGGCAGAGAUGAUGUUCGAAGAACUUCCUUUGUUGUGGCCGACAUGUCUUAUAUACUCAGCCUUUCUUCCUUGGGAGAGCCACUCUUUCCUGCUCUACCUAUGGGACUGGGGUGAACCAAACCUUACUCCCUGGCUGUAGGAAUGGGAGCCAGCCCUGGACAGUUCCAGAACUGCUGCGAGAGCUAACAAGAAAGAGUCUCUCUCCUCUUGUACCAGGCACAGUAAGGGCCACAUAAUCGUGGGACCGCCUGUGGCUGCCUUUGCCACCACACACAGACAGGCAGCUUGAGAAUGAAGGCAAUAAAGAAGGAAACCAGAAUCUGCUCCCGUGACCUUGUCUGGAUGCCAGUGCCCACCCUGGACUCCCAAAAUUUUUAAAAUUCUGGCUCGAUUGAAAUAAUUGUGCGUAUAUAUUCCAUGCAGUCAUUUCUGCCUGAAAGCACGGGGCUAACUGCCUCGUUUUAUGGAGUUUGCCGGUGCCAAGCAUUAGCUCACUGUCUGGGAAAGCGGAGCUGCUACGGAGAAAAUGACCCGCCCUGGCAGCCAGCGCUCUGCUUGGAAGAGAAGCAGGCCCCGUCUGAUUUGGUCGUGUCUGUGGCUGGUGGAAAGCUGCCUCCACCUGGACCUUGGAAACAUUUGUUGGCUUGGAGACUGUUCUGAGCAAGCCUUCACCCAACUUGUCCAGUUUCUAAAACCCAGUUUCCUUGCAAGCUAGUUCAGUGGCUUAGGACAAUGUUAGGUUUUCAGCGACCACUGUCCUCUUGGGAUCCUGUGUGGGGAGGCCAGAUGAGCUGGGAAGAGGAGGCCCCACGCAGCAGGGAGGUAACCGGAACCAGGAGGUGACCUCUCAGUAGAAAAUGCAUAUGUGCUUGCUUGCAAGGGCCCGGGCGCUUCUUCCUGUAGAUACAAAGGCAGCUAUCCUGAAGGAGAGGUGGGACACGGAAAGAGCCAAGAAAGCAGAUAUGUUGAAGAAAACUAUUUUCCAGAAAGAAGCGUUCUUUUUGUAUCACGUGCUGAGGAAUUGUAGUUGGCCUUCGUGUCUCGUAAGACGUGAAUCCCUUUAAAUCUAAAUGUGUCUGUACUGGGGUUAAGACUGACUUCCUGGAAGGCUGUCCACAUGGAUCCCAGACAAAUGUGAAGUCGUACUUGUGGUCCAAAAAGGGGAGGAAAAUUUGCAGGCACACUUCAGGGCUGCAGGCAAAGUUGCAUGUGUUCCAUUUUUAGUUCUUAAAACUGGGGCCCCAAAACUAAUCAAGGGGGAUAGAAAUCGAAGAGUGGUUGGUGCCUGGUGGGGGAAGAUGAGGGAUGGGGGUUGAGUGGAAAAAGGCCUACGGGGACUUACUAGGAUUGUGGAACUUUUGAUUGAAGUGUUGAUUACAUGGGUGUAAACAUUUGUCAAAAUUUAUUAAACUCUACACUGAAGAUC